This 1357-nucleotide ribosomal RNA is filed under the name uncultured organism. RNAcentral's name for it is "bacterial SSU rRNA". It matches the Rfam family "Bacterial small subunit ribosomal RNA", at positions 57 to 1407 of the family's 1533-position model. The record is from RNAcentral.
GCAAGUCGAACGGACAUAUAAUUGGGUAACCGAAGUAUGGUUAGUGGCGAAAGGGUGAGGAAUAGAUAGGAACGUACCCUGUGCUCUGGGAUAGCGUCUGAAGCUUCGGCUUCUUCCGAAAGGGGCGGUAUACCAGAUAAUGUCCUUCGGGACCAAAGAUUUAUCGGCAUUGGAGCGGCCUAUCUCCUAUCAGCUUGUUGGUGAGGUAACGGCUCACCAAGGCAACGACGGGUAGCGGGACUGAGAGGUUGGCCCGCCACAUCGGGACUGAGACACUGCCCGGACCUCCACGGAGGGCUGCAGUAACGGAUAUUGGGCAAUGGACGAAAGCCUGACCCAGCAAUGCCGCGUGCAGGAUGAAGCCCCUAGGGGUGUAAACUGCUGUCAGGGGUCAGAAAGCUGGUUUCGGCCAGUUGAUCAACCCCAGAGGAAGUCACGGCUAACUUCGUGCCAGCAGCCGCGGUAAUACGAAGGUGGCAAGCGUUAUUCGGAAUCAUUGGGCUUAAAGGGCACGCAGGCGGAACAGUGUGUGUUGUGUGAAAUCCCCCGGCUUAACCGGGGAAUUGCACAGCAAACUGCUGUUCUUGAGGCAGGUAGGGGUGCAUGGAACUCUUGGUGGAGCGGUGGAAUGCGUAGAUAUCAAGAGGAACGCCAGAGGUGAAGACGGUGCACUGGGCCUGUCCUGACGCUGAGGUGCGAAAGCGUGGGGAGCGAACGGGAUUAGAUACCCCGGUAGUCCACGCCGUAAACGAUGUCUACUAGGUCGUGGGUGUUCUGACACAUUCACGGCCGGAGCAAAAGUGUUUAGUAGACCGCCUGGGGAGUACGGCCGCAAGGUUAAAACUCAAAUGAAUUGACGGGGGCUCACACAAGCGGUGGAGCAUGUGGAUUAAUUCGAAGCAACGCGCAGAACCUUACCUGGGUUUGACAUGCUUGUAUGCCUUCUCUGAAAGGAGUUAGGUUGCCUUCGGGUGAAACUUGCACAGGUGCUGCAUGGCUGUCGUCAGCUCGUGUCGUGAGAUGUCGGGUUAAGUCCUUUAACGAGCGAAACCCUUGCCGUUAGUUGCCAGCGAGUAAUGUCGGGGACUCUAACGGGACUGCCGGUGUUAAACCGGAGGAAGGUGGGGAUGACGUCAAGUCCUCAUGGCCUUUAUGCCCAGGGCUUCACACGUGCUACAAUGGCAAUUACAGAGCGACGCGAUACCGCGAGGUGGAGCAAAUCGCAAAAAAUUGCCUCAGUUCGGAUUGCAGGCUGGCAAUUCGCCUGCAUGGAGUCGGAAUCGCUAGUAAUCGCGUAUCAGCAAUGACGCGGUGAAUGUGUUCCUGAGCCUUGUACACACCGCCCGUCAAGUGAUGG